Molecule: RNA transcript, 1630 nt
Organism: Eupeodes corollae
Lineage: Eukaryota; Metazoa; Arthropoda; Insecta; Diptera; Syrphidae
Exons: 4
Source: RefSeq, a predicted model, not a curated record
AUUUUUCGUUCCAGAAUAGAUACAAUUUUAGCUUUGGUGGCUUCCUUCAGAUAAUUCCACUUCUUCUGUUGCAACAUUCUCCAUGGUUUCUUCUUUAUCUGAGGAUUAAAUUAAGCCGUGUGUGAAUUGCGCUAAAAUUUGCGUUAAAACUUCUACCACGAUUAAAAUUUGACGUCUUCUUUGAGGUGGGAUCAAAUUUAGCCAUUUGCUGUGUGAAUUGCGUUAAAACAAUUAUUUUAACCAAGAUUUCUGCGCAGGUUAAACAAAUUUCCCUCGAUAAUUUAAGAAAUUUCCCUGAACAAAAAUUGGGAUUCUUGUUCGCGGAAAAAUAAUUUCGCUUACAAAACAUAUUUUUAAGAAAACAGGGUUAAUAAAAAGUCUCUGAAACUAAAAAAAAAUCUUUUUUAUUUAUUGUUCUCGAUUCUAAUGCCAUAUUUUAAAACAACAGUUAAAAAUAUUCAAACAAAAUUCCCAUUUUGAUUAAUUGAUUUAUUCGGUGUGGUAACACUGAAUAAUUGUUGAUAUCUUUCAUACAUUUCAAAAGAAACAAAACAAUUAAUUCGUAUUUGGUUCAGAAAAAUGACAAAUUUAAAGUAUUUUGCUGUGAUUCUUUUAUAUCUUUUAAAAUAUCAAAGCGUAAUAGGGUAAGUUAUUAGUUGACGUUCAAGUUAAAAGUUUUCCAAUAAUAAAUCCUAUUGGCAGAUUACCCGUGUAAGCUAUGGAAGACUUCGAGUGUUUUCAGAAGACAUCGAUGCAAUUCUCAACAACGAUAAGAUCAAAUGUCGUGAACAUUUGCGGUUGAAAAGUUCCACUUUUAGAACGAUUGUGGGCCUCAUGCCAGGGAAACGGAGUGGUCGGACAAAUGAGUAUGAACUCGUUGUAUUCCUUUACUGGAUGGCAUCUGGUUGUAGCUAUCAACUUGCUGGUGGCUUUAUUGGAAUGAGCAGAUAUACAGUGAAGAGCAUUGCGCACAAAAUGCUUAAUUUCUUUUGCGGAUCCAUGUGUCAUCUCAUUAAACAUGUUCAACCUAAUAACUAUGAGGACAUUGGCUAUAAAUUUUGCAGACGUUCCAAACCUAAUAUAUUUCAAAAUGUGAUAGGAGCUAUAGACGGCACUCAUAUCAGGAUACUUUGUCCUGUAAGAAAACAUGACGAAUAUUUAAACUAUAAACGUUUUUAUUCGAUCCAAUGUCAAUCUGUUGUUGACAGCAAAUUGAUGUUUAAUGACGCUUUUGUUGGAUUCCCUGGAUCAGUACAUGACACUCGUGUUUUGAAAAACAGUCAACUAUACAAAAGUGGCAAUUAUCCAAAGCAACCCUAUUACUUGCUGGGAGAUAGUGGAUAUGCGUGUCGUUUACAUCCAAUACCCAUCAUAACACCUUACAAAACAUCCAAUUCGAAUGAAAAAAAGUUCAACACCACACAUAGUAAAGCCAGAAACGUUGUUGAAUGUGCUUUCGGAAUAAUGAAAAGCAGAUGGAGAAAUAUUUUUAAUAAAGGGUUGGUGAUUUAGGUAGAGGUGAUCCAGAAGAAUUAUUUCAUUCCAAUGACAACACUGGGGAAAAUCUAGGAGUUGAUGAAAGUGACACAGCUGAAGCAUUACUUUUUCGCAAUUCGUUGCUUCAAAGAUU